Gasterosteus aculeatus aculeatus (three-spined stickleback) is the source of this 2393-nucleotide long non-coding RNA. The record is from Ensembl. NCBI's taxonomy places the organism in Eukaryota, Metazoa, Chordata, Actinopteri, Perciformes, Gasterosteidae.
GGUGCCCUGAGAUUAGAAAGCCCUGUGUUCAUUCAUUGAUUCUGUCGCUCUCUUCUCUCUCCAGCAGACGUCCGGUGUGGUAGGGCAGCCGCCUGUUGAAUCCGGUUUUCCUUUGGGUUAAAUGCCCUGGACAACACCCACCAUUUACACUUUACCCUCAUGCACAUCCUACACUACUGAUAAUACUGACAUUCGCAUCCCAUCUGGAAUGGUUAUGGUUUUUCGUUGUUUUGUGUGUUAAAUAAAGAAUGUUACACCUCGGAAACCAGUGUAACUCCAAUCUUGUCAUGGCCCAAAGAGCCAGGUCGUGACAAAUGGGGGCUCGUCCAAUUCUGGUCAGUGAUUUGUUUGAUGAUCAAGUGUGUAGAUUUCGUGUGACGCGUGUUUUUGUGUGGAUCAGCUGUGAGCGGUUGGUGCGCGUUUGGUUUGGUGGUGAUCGCCAGGUUGUCUCUGUUGCGGAAAGUUUGGGAGUCAUGCUGGAUUUUGAAGGUUUAGCUCUGGUUCGUUGUAGCUCUGGUUCGUUGGUCCGUUGUAGUUCUUAGGUCCGUUGUAGUUGUAGCUCUGGUUCGUUGUAGCUCUGGUUCGUUGUUCUUUGGUCCGUUGUAGCUCUGGUUCGUUGUAGUUCGUUGGUCCGUUGUAGCUCUGGUUCGUUGUAGUUCGUUGGUCCGUUGUAGCUCUGGUUCGUUGUAGUUCGUUGGUCCGUUGUAGUUCGUUGGUCCGUUGUAGCUCUGGUCCGUUGUAGUUCGUUGGUCCGUUGUAGUUCUGGUUGUGGAAGCGUUUAGAGGUUUUUGUUUUUUUUCUCUUUCGCGAAGUCGAUUGCGCGUGGUCCAAAGAGAAAGUACGUGUUGCCGCCCUGAUGCGCUGUGUUUGGAGUUUCCCUGUCAGGUUAUAGUGGCGUCUCCCCUUUGGGUUGAGUCAGUUUUUUUUUGUAGUGUUGUGGCAACGUGGUUAGUGUCAGCUGUCUAUGGACGGUUGUCUCGGGAGCACGUCCGUGGGAUCCUGCGUUGUGGCCUACUUGUGGGUGACUUCUCAGACCUGCUGGUUUCCAGUGCGUAAUUACCCACCGCAAGCUGCAUGAAGACUAGGUGAGUUUAGUAAGAGUUUGGACUAGGCAGUUAGGGGGAAUACUCCGCGGGGCAAGUUGCCUUCGUUUGUGUGCGUUUGGGGGGUAAUACGGUGCGUUCUGUUUGGUCUGUCUUCCUUGUCGGGGUUUUUUUUGAGCAGCAGAAGGAGCUGCUGAUGAUCCGGUUAAACUUGGAAACUGAGCGGAAAAUUCAAAUCGAAAAGGUUCGGCAGCAAACAGAAAAAAUGAAACCGGAAUUGCAGCAGUAUAAAUUGAGUUUGAUUUGUGACGGUAAGCUUUCGCAGACUAUGGCAGAGGAAGGUUUCCCGGAGUCUGUCCGUCUCAGGUUCGAUGUUGAGGCUAAUUUGCGUUUAAUGCCCAGAUUUAAUGAGAAGGAUCCUGAUACGUUUUUCACUUUGUUUGAGCAUUUGAUCAUAGAUUGUGUGGGGCCUUUACCAACCUCAAGGUCUGGUUGUUCUUCUCUGCUGUCUGUGAUGUGCCAGACAACAAGAUAUUCUGCAGUAUAUCCUUUGCGUUCAAUUUCUGCAAGAUCAAUAGUGAAGGCCUUGACACAAUUCUUUUCAAUUUUUGGCGUUACGCGUGUGAUUCAGAGCGACCAAGGUUCGAACUUUACAUCGCACUUGUUUGGACAGAUGUUGAAACGGUUGAAGGUGACUCAUAACCGUGCGUCUGCUUAUCAUGCGCAAAGUCAGGGAGCAUUUGAACGUUUUCACCAGACAUUGAGUCCUUGUUGCAUGCGUACUGCACAGAGAAAGGGAGAGAUUGUGAGGAAGGACUACCUUGGCUGAUGUUGUCAGCCCGAGAAGGUGUUCAGGAGAGCACUGGGUUUAGUCCCAAUGACCUUGUUUUUGGCCAUACAGUGCGUGGUCCCUUGGCAGUUCUGCGGGAUGGCUUGGGUGACACUGUCAAUGGUCUGAAUUGUAGUGGUCAGGGUUAAUAUUGUGAUCAUGAAAUGUAACUCCUGUCAUUCUUCACUUUGUUCUCGUCUCUCUCUUAAAAUGCUUCUUUUAGGUACCUGGUUGCAGAGCUGGGGCGUAGUUUCAAUGUGGAGGGUGCUAAGCAGACGUCCGGUGUGGUAGGGCAGCCGCCUGUUGAAUCCGGUUUUCCUUUGGGUUAAAUGCCCUGGACAACACCCACCAUUUACACUUUACCCUCAUGCACAUCCUACACUACUGAUAAUACUGACAUUCGCAUCCCAUCUGGAAUGGUUAUGGUUUUUCGUUGUUUUGUGUGUUAAAUAAAGAAUGUUACACCUCGGAAACCAGUGUAACUCCAAUCUUGUCAUGGCCCAAAGAGCCAGGUCGUGACA